RNAcentral lists this ribosomal RNA (258 nucleotides) under uncultured Psychrobacter sp. RNAcentral's name for it is "partial 16S ribosomal RNA". It matches the Rfam family "Bacterial small subunit ribosomal RNA", at positions 194 to 440 of the family's 1533-position model. Lineage: Bacteria; Pseudomonadati; Pseudomonadota; Gammaproteobacteria; Moraxellales; Moraxellaceae. The record is from RNAcentral.
CUACGGGAGAAAGCAGGGUAUCCCUAAACCUUGCGCUAUUAGAUGAGCCUAAUUCGGAUUACCUAGAUGGUGGGGUAAAGGCCUACCAUGGCGACAAUCUGUAGCUGGUCUGAGAGGAUGAUCAGCCACACCGGGACUGAGACACGGCCCGGACUCCUACGGGAGGCAGCAGUGGGGAAUAUUGGACAAUGGGGGGAACCCUGAUCCAGCCAUGCCGCGUGUGUGAAGAAGGCCUUUUGUUUUUAAAGCACUUUAACC